GACGAACGCUGGCGGCGUGCUUAACACAUGCAAGUCGAGCGAGAAAGUCCCUUCGGGGGCGAGUACAGCGGCGAACGGGUGAGUAACACGUGGGCAACCUGCCCCAAGGAGCGGGACAACCUCGGGAAACCGGGGCUAAUACCGCAUGACCCGCCACGGCUCAAGCCGUGUCGGCAAAAAGGUCGCUUCGGCCUCCGCCUUGGGAUGGGCCCGCGGCGCAUUAGCUUGUUGGUGAGGGUAACGGCCCACCAAGGCGACGAUGCGUAGCUGGUCUGAGAGGACGAUCAGCCACACUGGGACUGAGACACGGCCCAGACUCCUACGGGAGGCAGCAGUGGGGAAUUUUGGACAAUGGGGGCAACCCUGAUCCAGCAAUGCCGCGUGCAGGAAGAAGGCCU
This 398-nucleotide ribosomal RNA is filed under the name uncultured bacterium. RNAcentral's name for it is "bacterial SSU rRNA". It matches the Rfam family "Bacterial small subunit ribosomal RNA", at positions 28 to 417 of the family's 1533-position model. The record is from RNAcentral.